This 193-nucleotide microRNA precursor is filed under the name Oryza brachyantha (malo sina). Its description in RNAcentral is "MIR812 microRNA precursor family". It matches the Rfam family "MIR812 microRNA precursor family". The record is from Rfam by way of RNAcentral. Lineage: Eukaryota; Viridiplantae; Streptophyta; Magnoliopsida; Poales; Poaceae.
AAUAAACCAAUUUUUCACUUUUUACCUAUAAUUUUUAACUAUUUGUCUUAUUCAAUUUUUUUACGAUUGAUAUUUUUGUUUUUAUUAGAUGAUAAAUCAUGAAUAGUAUUUUACGUGUGACUAAUUUUUUUCUAAUUUUCUAAAAAAAUUUUAAAUAAGACAGAUAGUCAAACGUUGGAUACGGAAACCGGAG